GACGAACGCUGGCGGCGUGCCUAAUACAUGCAAGUCGAGCGAGCGGAACUAACAGAUUUACUUCGGUAAUGACGUUAGGAAAGCGAGCGGCGGAUGGGUGAGUAACACGUGGGGAACCUGCCCCAUAGUCUGGGAUACCACUUGGAAACAGGUGCUAAUACCGGAUAAGAAAGCAGAUCGCAUGAUCAGCUUUUAAAAGGCGGCGUAAGCUGUCGCUAUGGGAUGGCCCCGCGGUGCAUUAGCUAGUUGGUAAGGUAAAGGCUUACCAAGGCGAUGAUGCAUAGCCGAGUCGAGAGACUGAUCGGCCACAUUGGGACUGAGACACGGCCCAAACUCCUACGGGAGGCAGCAGUAGGGAAUCUUCCACAAUGGACGCAAGUCUGAUGGAGCAACGCCGCGUGAGUGAAGAAGGUUUUCGGAUCGUAAAGCUCUGUUGUUGGUGAAGAAGGAUAGAGGUAGUAACUGGCCUUUACUUGACGGUAAUCAACCAGAAAGUCACGGCUAACUACGUG
RNAcentral lists this ribosomal RNA (512 nucleotides) under uncultured bacterium. Its description in RNAcentral is "partial 16S ribosomal RNA". It matches the Rfam family "Bacterial small subunit ribosomal RNA", at positions 28 to 507 of the family's 1533-position model. The record is from RNAcentral.